This 924-nucleotide ribosomal RNA is filed under the name Latilactobacillus sakei. RNAcentral's name for it is "bacterial SSU rRNA". It matches the Rfam family "Bacterial small subunit ribosomal RNA", at positions 60 to 942 of the family's 1533-position model. The record is from RNAcentral. Lineage: Bacteria; Bacillati; Bacillota; Bacilli; Lactobacillales; Lactobacillaceae.
AGUCAGAACGCACUCUCGUUUAGAUUGAAGGAGCUUGCUCCUGAUUGAUAAACAUUUGAGUGAGUGGCGGACGGGUGAGUAACACGUGGGUAACCUGCCCUAAAGUGGGGGAUAACAUUUGGAAACAGAUGCUAAUACCGCAUAAAACCUAACACCGCAUGGUGUAGGGUUGAAAGAUGGUUUCGGCUAUCACUUUAGGAUGGACCCGCGGUGCAUUAGUUAGUUGGUGAGGUAAAGGCUCACCAAGACCGUGAUGCAUAGCCGACCUGAGAGGGUAAUCGGCCACACUGGGACUGAGACACGGCCCAGACUCCUACGGGAGGCAGCAGUAGGGAAUCUUCCACAAUGGACGAAAGUCUGAUGGAGCAACGCCGCGUGAGUGAAGAAGGUUUUCGGAUCGUAAAACUCUGUUGUUGGAGAAGAAUGUAUCUGAUAGUAACUGAUCAGGUAGUGACGGUAUCCAACCAGAAAGCCACGGCUAACUACGUGCCAGCAGCCGCGGUAAUACGUAGGUGGCAAGCGUUGUCCGGAUUUAUUGGGCGUAAAGCGAGCGCAGGCGGUUUCUUAAGUCUGAUGUGAAAGCCUUCGGCUCAACCGAAGAAGUGCAUCGGAAACUGGGAAACUUGAGUGCAGAAGAGGACAGUGGAACUCCAUGUGUAGCGGUGAAAUGCGUAGAUAUAUGGAAGAACACCAGUGGCGAAGGCGGCUGUCUGGUCUGUAACUGACGCUGAGGCUCGAAAGCAUGGGUAGCAAACAGGAUUAGAUACCCUGGUAGUCCAUGCCGUAAACGAUGAGUGCUAGGUGUUGGAGGGUUUCCGCCCUUCAGUGCCGCAGCUAACGCAUUAAGCACUCCGCCUGGGGAGUACGACCGCAGGUUGAAACUCAAAGGAAUUGACGGGGGCCCGCACAAGCGGUGGAGCAUGU